GCCCCAUAGUUUCUAAAUUUCUACAAAUCUCCUUGUUAUUUUUAAAAUCAAUACCAUUGUUAUUUUCUGGAGAGGCCACUCAUUACUGGCCCAACUGAAAGUGUUUAGGCUUGACAAGCAAAACCAAGCCCCACCUAGAGGAACACAGGUGAAAUGAAUUAAGCUAGUUUUCCAGUAAAGAGAGAGAGAAACCAGGAAGGGGAUAACACAUUUCUUUAGCUUCUUCCUCUGCUGAAGGAAACUUACACUGUGAGAAGAGGCUAUGUGGUCUUUUGCAACGAUGCAGCCUUAGACUAAGGGCUUGAGAGGUGUGGGAUAAAAGUCUGGGACAUCUUGAGUCAAGCUAUUUUAAACUUUUGUCAGAAAAAGUGCCUUAGAAAUCCCCGCUUACAGCAAGUAUCAAAUCCUGCGAGACUGGAGCACCACCUGAACUUGGCCUUCUUCCUACGUGUGGUUUGCCAGUGGCUCUGUGACAAGUACAAGACCUGGAAGAAACCUCCAUCCUCAAAGACUUGGAAAAGGCUGUCCUGGAGCCUGCGUGGAGGUUACAAAAAUCAUCCCUCUGGUGGUGGCCUGAGCAGAUUACUUCAACCCCAAUGUUGCCCUGAACGUUGCAUUCAAGAUUUGAGAAGAUUAGGACUGCUAAGAGGACAGGCUCCAGGGCACAUGGGCCCAAUACCUGCUGCACACAUGCUUAUUCGCCACGUGGAAUGUUGGAUCUUCCAGGACCAGGAGUCGAAACUUGUGUCCCCUGCAUUGGCAGGCAGAUUCCUAACCCCUGGAGUGCCAGGGAAGCCCAAGUUUAUUUUUUUAGUAGGUACUAUUUAUCAGGCUAAGCAAGAUUCUGUUCCUAAUGAAAUAAGAAAUUGUACUCUUUUCCCUAAGAAAAUGAAACUGAAGUCGCUCAGUCAUGUCCAACUCUAUGCAACUCUAUGGGCUAUAGCCUACCAGUCUCCUCUGUCCAUGGGGAUUCUCCAGGCAAGAAUACUAGAGUAGGUUGCCAUUUCCUUCUCCAGAGGAUCUUCCCGACCCAGGGAUCAAACCUGGGUCUCCCACAUUGCAGGCAGACUCUACCCUCCGGGCCACCAUGGAAGCUCUCUUUUCCCUAAAUAUUUGCUAAAUUCUAUCACUUUUUAAGUAUCAAUUGGAAUAAUCAUAUUGAUUUUUCUCUUUAAAUCUGAUAUUACUGUGAAAAGCAGUUCUGCAUUUUCUAAUAAUAAACCAUUCUCACAUAGUUGAGAUAAAUCCAAUUUUAUCAUGGUUAUCAUAAUACAUUAUAGUAAUAUGUUGGAUUCAUGUUGGUAAGUGUUUUUAAGCGAUUUUAAACUGUUUAUUAAUUAGUGUGGUAGACUUCUUAUUUUUCUUUCACAGAUUGUUUUGGUGUUUGGUGUCAGGCUAAAACUGAUGUGGUGUUAGGCUAAAAUUCACCGGAGUCUCCUUUUCCGCUAAACGGGGAAAGAUAUGUGAAAUUUUAAUGUGUUCCUUGAAAUUUUUGUAGCACUCAAAUGUGAAAUCACUGUCUAGUUUCCACUGAAGGGCUAGAUUCUUAGGUCAGUUUGGUAACUUAUUUUUCUAGGUAUUUUAUUUAGGUUUUCAAAAUUGUUCACAUAAAGUCAUUGUUAGUUCUUUUGGCUGCUUUAAUAGUCCUACUUUUUCUGUCAUGUCCUAUCUGCAGUUAUGAUAGUUUUUAUUUAUGUUUUCUCUCUUUUCUUGAUCAAUCUUGACAGAGGUUUGUUUAUUUUGUUAAUUUUUGUAAAUAAUCAACUUUUGGCUUUAUUGAACUAUAUUGUAUUCUAUUUUAUUAAAUCUAACAUUUAUUACCUCUAUUUCCCUUGUUCUGAAUUGUUAUUUUUUUGUAAAUUUAUAAGUUGAACACUUAGUUUAGUAAUUGAGACUUAUUUUCUAUUAAGUAUUUUUUUGUAGAAAUGUAAAUUCAUGAGGUAGUGAAAAUAUCUCCAAUACACAGAAAAUGCUGGUUUUACUCUUAUGCACCUAAAUAUGCUUUUGUUUUUUCUGUGCAUCUGUUCAUUCAGCAGACACUGAAAGAC
Long non-coding RNA from Bos taurus (domestic cattle), 2048 nucleotides. Lineage: Eukaryota; Metazoa; Chordata; Mammalia; Artiodactyla; Bovidae. The record is from Ensembl.